RNAcentral lists this unclassified non-coding RNA (22 nucleotides) under Chlamydomonas reinhardtii. RNAcentral describes it as "small RNA Cre_0751". Lineage: Eukaryota; Viridiplantae; Chlorophyta; Chlorophyceae; Chlamydomonadales; Chlamydomonadaceae. The record is from RNAcentral.
AUGCUGAUCUGGCGCCACGGCC